RNAcentral lists this ribosomal RNA (485 nucleotides) under uncultured bacterium. RNAcentral describes it as "SSU rRNA". It matches the Rfam family "Bacterial small subunit ribosomal RNA", at positions 26 to 518 of the family's 1533-position model. The record is from RNAcentral.
AGGACGAACGCUGGCGGCGCGCUUAAUACAUGCAAGUCGAGCGAGAACCAGGGCUUCGGCUCUGGGGACAGCGGCGAACGGGUGAGUAACACGUGGGUAAUCAACCCCCGACACCGGGAUAGCCCAGGGAAACUUGGAUUAAUACCGGAUGCUCCGUCUGGCCUUCGGGCCGGCCGGAAAAGGGUAGCUUCGGCCUCCGGUCGGGGACGAGCCCGCGGCGGAUUAGCUUGUUGGUGAGGUAAAGGCUCACCAAGGCGACGAUCCGUAGCUGGUCUGAGAGGACGAUCAGCCACACUGGGACUGAGACACGGCCCAGACUCCUACGGGAGGCAGCAGUAGGGAAUCUUGCGCAAUGGGCGAAAGCCUGACGCAGCGACGCCGCGUGAGGGAUGACGGCCUUCGGGUUGUAACCUCUUUCGACCGGGACGAGCGUGAGUGACGGUACCGGUAGAAGAAGCACCGGCUAACUACGUGCCAGCAGCCGC